UGCAAGUCGAGCGAGAAAAGGGGGGCAACCCCCUGAGUAAAGCGGCGCACGGGUGAGUAACACGUAGGUAACCUGCCCUCGAGCCCGGGAUAACCUACCGAAAGGUGGGCUAAUACCUGAUAUGACCACGGGAGCCACGGCUUCUGCGGUGAAAGGUGGCCUCUUCUUGAAAGCCACCACUCGUGGAGGGGCCUGCGCGCCAUUAGCUAGUUGGCGGGGUAACGGCCCACCAAGGCUGUGAUGGCUAGCUGGUCUGAGAGGAUGACCAGCCACACUGGGACUGAAACACGGCCCAGACUCCUACGGGAGGCAGCAGUGGGGGAUAUUGCGCAAUGGGCGAAAGCCUGACGCAGCGACGCCGCGUGGGUGAUGAAGGCCUUCGGGUCGUAAAGCCCUGUCGAGGGGGAAGAAACAGCCGUGAUCGAACAGAUCACGGCCCUGACGGUACCCCUAAAGGAAGCACCGGCUAACUCCGUGCCAGCAGCCGCGGUAAUACGGAGGGUGCGAGCGUUGUUCGGAAUCACUGGGCGUAAAGCGCGUGUAGGCGGUCUGUUAAGUCUGAUGUGAAAGCCCCGGGCUC
This 580-nucleotide ribosomal RNA is filed under the name uncultured bacterium. RNAcentral's name for it is "bacterial SSU rRNA". It matches the Rfam family "Bacterial small subunit ribosomal RNA", at positions 56 to 610 of the family's 1533-position model. The record is from RNAcentral.